CAGCAGCCACGGUAAUACGAAGGGUGCAAGCGUUAAUCGGAAUUACUGGGCGUAAAGCGUGCGUAGGCGGUUUGUUAAGUCUGUUGUGAAAUCCCCGGGCUCAACCUGGGAAUGGCAAUGGAUACUGGCAAGCUAGAGUGUGUCAGAGGAUGGUGGAAUUCCCGGUGUAGCGGUGAAAUGCGUAGAGAUCGGGAGGAACAUCAGUGGCGAAGGCGGCCAUCUGGGACAACACUGACGCUGAGGCACGAAAGCGUGGGGAGCAAACAGGAUUAGAUACCCCUGUAGUCCCUGUCUCUUAUAC
This 301-nucleotide ribosomal RNA is filed under the name uncultured bacterium. RNAcentral's name for it is "partial 16S ribosomal RNA". It matches the Rfam family "Bacterial small subunit ribosomal RNA", at positions 509 to 807 of the family's 1533-position model. The record is from RNAcentral.